AGCUUUGUGUAGGGCACCAUCGUAGCCAGGGAGGUCUACCCAAGGCACGAUUAUUGUUCAUUGAAAACUUUUUCCAAUUAGUCAAUCACGGAUAGGCUACUUUGCAUAUCAGAAAUUAUACUGA
RNAcentral lists this small nuclear RNA (124 nucleotides) under Octodon degus (degu). Its description in RNAcentral is "U4 spliceosomal RNA (ENSODEG00000025692.1)". It matches the Rfam family "U4 spliceosomal RNA". Rfam says of the family: U4 small nuclear RNA (U4 snRNA) is a component of the major U2-dependent spliceosome. Lineage: Eukaryota; Metazoa; Chordata; Mammalia; Rodentia; Octodontidae. The record is from RNAcentral.